AGCUCCAAUAGCGUAUAUUAAAGUUGUUGCGGUUAAAAAGCUCGUAGUUGGAUUUCUGCCGAGGACGACCGGUCCGCCCUCAGGGUGAGCAUCUGGAUCGGCCUGGGCAUCCUCUUGGGGAACGUAGCUGCACUUGACUGUGUGGUGCGGUAUCCAGGACUUUUACUUUGAGGAAAUUAGAGUGUUUCAAGCAGGCUUCCGCCUUGAAUACAUUAGCAUGGAAUAAUAAGAUAGGACCUCGGUUCUAUUUUGUUGGUUUCUAGAGCUGAGGUAAUGAUUAAUAGGGAUAGUUGGGAGCAUUCGUAUUUCGUUGUCAGAGGUGAAAUUCUUGGAUUUCCGAAAGACGAACUACUGCGAAAGCAUUUACCAAGGAUGUUUUCA
RNAcentral lists this ribosomal RNA (381 nucleotides) under marine Metazoa environmental sample. RNAcentral describes it as "SSU rRNA". It matches the Rfam family "Eukaryotic small subunit ribosomal RNA", at positions 587 to 972 of the family's 1831-position model. The record is from RNAcentral. Lineage: Eukaryota; Metazoa.